UACACACUUACAUCAGCAUGAAGAUGAAAUGUUUACAUCUUGAUAUAGGCAUUACAUGUGCAGACCAUUAAUCCUAGAAUGAGCGCCUCCACUGAUAACCACUCCCCCUCCAUCAGCCCAAAAAAAUUUCAAAAGGCUCCCCUCCUAAACCAAGCUCCUCCCUUCCCUGUUUUCCAUGUCUGUAGAAGAGUAAUGUGACUACAAAGAAAGUUAACAUCUGAUACUCACAUUUUCAAAUAUGACAUGAGCGAUAAAAAUCACUUGCGCUCCCACACUUGCACCAAUUUAUAAUUAUGUUAAGUGUGGAAAGUGUUAAAAAAAACACAGUUUUUUCUCCCACAGGCAAUCCGUUGCUUUUACCAUCGUAUUAUUUCUUUUCUUCAGGGAACGGUUUGCAUAACAAAGUAUGUGGUUAUAUGGGAAGCUAGCCAAAAAUCACACGUGUAUGAUAUCUGUUCUGCAUAAUUUUUGGGGAAAGCACUGCAGCAUGGGUAUCCUAGAAGUUCGCAGUAUGCUUUUGACUCGAAUGUAGCUUAAUUGUUAUUUGUAAUUGUCUAGCAAAAAAUAAUGUUUGGAAGCUUAACCGUAGAGUAUCGUAAGUGCUUAUCGCAAGUUCUCACGUUUGUCUCUUGUAUGGGACACCCGGAAUUUCUUUCUAAGAACAGGUCUAGUACAUGCACUUAUAAAAAUUGUAGUUGCCCUCGGGUAAAUUAGUUAUACCACUUGUGAUACUUGGUGAACGAAUUCCUUCAAAUAAUGCAGCAAGCCUUUUCAACAAGCGGGGUCUUUUCGCGUUUACAGAGACGCGGCAAGAGUAAGGAAGGUUGAGCAGUCAUCAGUGGAGCUUCUCUUCAUAGAUUCGAAUCAGCCUACUGCUAGUCAUCCCCCCAUCGAUGUGAAAUUUCAACAAAGGUGGCCGAAGAGCUCUCCGAUUCAUGAUUUUCGGUUCUCGGGGGCCAGGAAAAGCCUUGUUCCAACCCAAAUACCUUGGAUAUCGUCUGUAAAGGCGUGAGAGUGUUUCUUAGAGGUUACUGAAGCAAGUGGUUUGAAUUCGAAGACGAAGAAGGCUAAGUAUGAAUGGAUGUCAUUUAAGUCACGACUCUUUUCAAGUAACAGCGUCGGGCAUAAGAUGAGGUUAUCACUAGAUCAAGAAAUUCAAGCGAGGAAAGGAAACAAGACAACUUCCAAAAAUAUUGACUGAUGCACGAAUCAAACAAGAAAGGCUGUUACACAAAGACAAGAUUUAUUCAGAGGUAUAAAACAGGUGCAGCCCAUUGCCACCCCGAAUACCGCCAACAAGAGCCAAGAGACAUUUAAAAAAAUCGACGACUUGAAGCCAAGCGUAAGCAAAUGUUAUUUUGCCAUUUUAUUGAAAUCCAAAAUUUUUUGCCAACGUAAUGCUCAUGGCCAUGGGCUGUUUAAUACUUUUAUUUUUUCCCGCCAAAAAACUUAGAAAAAUACGUGUGCCUAUACUACGCAUGCGCCAUUUUUUUUAUUUAGUCUGUAAGUAAGAUCUGUUCAAAUAUGGCGAAUUUUCCCGCCAAAAGACUUAUAAAAAAUAUGGCGCCCAAAAUACGCAUGCGCCAAUUUUUUUUUCUAAGUUUGUAUUUUUCAAGUAAAGUUCAGGUAAUAAACUUCAUCUUUAUUUCC
Pocillopora damicornis (cauliflower coral) is the source of this 1650-nucleotide unclassified non-coding RNA. The record is from RefSeq and is a predicted model, not a curated record. NCBI's taxonomy places the organism in Eukaryota, Metazoa, Cnidaria, Anthozoa, Scleractinia, Pocilloporidae.